Molecule: non-coding RNA, 135 nt
Organism: Triticum aestivum (bread wheat)
Lineage: Eukaryota; Viridiplantae; Streptophyta; Magnoliopsida; Poales; Poaceae
Source: Rfam
UUUCUACUCCCUCCGUCCGAAAAUACUUGUCAUCAAAAUGGAUAAAAAGAGAUGUAUCUAAAACUAAAAUACGUCUAGAUACAUUUCCUUUUAUCCAUUUUGAUGACAAGUAUUUUCGGACGGAGGGAGUAUUUG